This 497-nucleotide ribosomal RNA is filed under the name uncultured bacterium. RNAcentral describes it as "partial 16S ribosomal RNA". It matches the Rfam family "Bacterial small subunit ribosomal RNA", at positions 28 to 507 of the family's 1533-position model. The record is from RNAcentral.
GACGAACGCUGGCGGCGUGCCUAAUACAUGCAAGUUGAGCGCUGAAGGUUGGUACUUGUACCAACUGGAUGAGCAGCGAACGGGUGAGUAACGCGUGGGGAAUCUGCCUUUGAGCGGGGGACAACAUUUGGAAACGAAUGCUAAUACCGCAUAAAAACUUUAAACACAAGUUUUAAGUUUGAAAGAUGCAAUUGCAUCACUCAAAGAUGAUCCCGCGUUGUAUUAGCUAGUUGGUGAGGUAAAGGCUCACCAAGGCGAUGAUACAUAGCCUACCUGAGCGAGUGAUCGGCCACAUUGGGACGGAGACACCGCCCAUACUCCUACGAGACGCCGCAGUCGCGAAUCUUAGGCAACGGACGAAAGUAUUACAGAGUAACGCCACGCGAGUGAAGACGGUGUCCGGAUCGUAAUGAUCGGUUGCUAGAGAAGAACGGUGGUGAGAGGGGAAAGCUCAUCAAGUGACGGUAACUACCCAGAAAGGAACGGCUAACUACGUG